RNAcentral lists this long non-coding RNA (555 nucleotides) under Marmota monax (woodchuck). The record is from RNAcentral. Lineage: Eukaryota; Metazoa; Chordata; Mammalia; Rodentia; Sciuridae.
GAGUGCACACUCUCUGACCUCCCCUCACUGAGGACCUUGGUCCUGACACAGUAGGUGUCACCUGGGAGGUGAGGACACACUCUCUGACCUCCCCUCCCUGCGUACCUUGGUCUUGACACACUGGCUGACACCUGGAGGUGGGGGCACACUCUCUGACCUCCCCUCACUGAGGACCUUGGUUCUGAAACCCUGGUGACACCUAGGAGGUGAGGGCACACUCUCUGACCUCACCUCACUGAGGAUCUAGGCUCUGACACACUGGGCUGUCACCUGGGAAGUGAAGGCACACUCUGUGACCUUCCCUCACUGAGGACCUUGGUCCUGACACACUAGGUGUCACCUGGGAGCUGAGGGCACACUCUCUGACCACCCCUCUCUGAGGACCUUGGUCCUGACACACUGUGUGUCACCUGGGAGGUGAGGACACACUGUCUGACCACCCUCACUGAGGACCUUGGUUCUGAAACACUGGGGUGACACCUGGGAAGUCAGUGCACACUGUUUGACUUACCCUCACUGAGGACCUUUGUCCUGACACAUUUAUCUGACACCUGG